GGCGGAAGGGUGAGUACCACGUAGGAGACCUACCUCCCCGCAGGGGACAACCUGGCGAAAGCGAGGCUAAUACCCAGAAGGCUCGCGCGUUCGGUCGCGCGAACAGAGUCCGCAAGGACGUGGAGAGAGGGUCCUGCGCCCCAUCAGCUAGUUGGUAGGGUAGCGGCCUACCAAGGCAACGACGGGUAGGGGGUCUGAGAGGACGAUCCCCCACACUGGAACUGAAACACGGUCCAGACGCCUACGGGUGGCAGCAGGGAGGAAUAUUGCACAAUGGGCGACAGCCCGAUGCAGCAACGCCGCGUGGAGGACGAAGGCCUUCGGGUCGUAAACUCCUUUGGAGGGAGACGAGCAAGGACGGUAUCCCUCGAACAAGCCCCGGCUAACUACGUGCCAGCAGCCGCG
RNAcentral lists this ribosomal RNA (405 nucleotides) under uncultured bacterium. RNAcentral's name for it is "bacterial SSU rRNA". It matches the Rfam family "Bacterial small subunit ribosomal RNA", at positions 97 to 519 of the family's 1533-position model. The record is from RNAcentral.